AAUUGACAAUGUAAUUUCCUGAUGGGCUGGUUCAAGCACCAUAGGAGUGGUCUGUGUGGCUGAGAAUCAUCACGGGGGUUUGUUAACAAAACUCCAGAAACGAUCUCAAAGCUCCGAAAGUCCCUAAAGAUGGGAGAGCAUGGAGGUGAGGAAGGAUUGAGGGAAGAGAAACCGAAAGACAUCGUAGACAGAGCCAAAUUGAUUCCAGAGCGUGGGAUUGGGCAAAUAGAGAGAGAAAGAAAAUCUAAACCCUCCAGGCGAAUCCUUCUACCUGCCUGUCCGGAGCUCUGUGGAGGGGAGCAGCACUAGCGAACAGGUGGAGACAGCCAAGCAUGGCGAAUGGAUUUCAAGUGGAGUGUCAGGGCCACUGAUUCCGUGUCAGCUAACCUUUCUCUGCAGCCUACAAGAAAGGACGCAUGUCUGCUCAUUACCAUAAUCCAACACUGUCCCUCCGAGGCUUUAAUUAAAAGCAGCAAGCAGAGCUAACAGAGCGUGGAACUUUGGUCAGCUCUUCUUUCAUUCCCUUGGCCACACCCCCCAGAUGUCGGGUAUUGGGCAGCAUCUGCCAGACGGAAAUAAGAGGAAGAUCCGUGAAGUAGAAACUUACUUGAUCCCUGGACAUUUUUACCCCACACAGGAUAGCGUUUCUUAUCGCCAACUGAAAUUUUAGAUAUAUUUUUUAAAUCCUCCAGAACCUCCCAACUCCUUUUUAAAGGAGUCCUUUUCAAUUUCCCCAACUCGGCGUUUUAUGCCCCAAUUUCUCUCGUCCUUUUAAAAGUGUCUUUCAAACAAACGUGUCAUUGUGCCGGGAUGUCGAGCCGUCACGUCGGGCAACAGCAGGGACACAAUCAUUAAAAUGCAGUUUUACCUAACAAUACGGUGAAAAGGUCCUCGCUGCACCACGCUAAUAGGGG
Artibeus jamaicensis (Jamaican fruit-eating bat) is the source of this 914-nucleotide long non-coding RNA. RefSeq lists it as uncharacterized. The record is from RefSeq and is a predicted model, not a curated record. NCBI's taxonomy places the organism in Eukaryota, Metazoa, Chordata, Mammalia, Chiroptera, Phyllostomidae. The transcript is spliced from 3 exons.